GAUGAACGCUGGCGGCGUGCCUAAUACAUGCAAGUCGAGCGAACAGACGAGGAGCUUGCUCCUCUGACGUUAGCGGAGGACGGGAGAGUAACACGUGGAUAACCUACCUAUAAGACUGGGAUAACUUCGGGAAACGGGAGCUAAUACCGGAUAAUAUAUUGAACCGCAUGGUUGAAUAGUGAAAGACGGUUUUGCGGUCACUAAUAGAGGGAUCUGCGCCGCAUUAGCUGGUUGGUAAGGUAACGGCUUACCAAGGCAACGAUGCGUAGCCGAGCUGAGAGGGUGAUCGGCCACACUGGAACUGAGACACGGUCCAGACUCCUACGGGAGGCAGCAGUAGGGAAUCUUCCGCAAUGGGCGAAAGCCUGACGGAGCAACGCCGCGUGAGUGAUGAAGGUCUUCGGAUCGUAAAACUCUGUUAUUAGGGAAGAACAAAUGUGUAAGUAACUAUGCACGUCUUGACGGUACCUAAUCAGAAAGCCACGGCUAACUACGUG
This 497-nucleotide ribosomal RNA is filed under the name uncultured bacterium. Its description in RNAcentral is "partial 16S ribosomal RNA". It matches the Rfam family "Bacterial small subunit ribosomal RNA", at positions 28 to 507 of the family's 1533-position model. The record is from RNAcentral.